UUGAAAAUCUCAGAGAGGAGAACAGAAAACCAUAUAGUGACAGGAAAAUGCUUUGUUCAUCUGAUGCCACAUAAAGGCCUCCAGAGGUCAGUGAAUUCCAUGCUGAACAUCCAUUUUUGGCCGCUCCGCCGGCCCCAGGCCUUCGCUCCAGUCCCCUGUGUUGGCAAGUCUGCCGAGCAUCCGUGCGAGGUCCCGGGAUCAGCUGGGGGGUAAAAAGAGAGACAUUUCUCCAGUCCCAGGCCUUUGUGGAAGCCGACACCCUCUGUCCAGGGACUCGGUACCUUUUCCUGGCCAAGUCCUGGCCCCCCAAGGAGCAGGUGGAAGAUCAAGAUGUUGUCUACCGCCAGCGGCGUGUGACCCUCCCCCUGUGUGGUUGGUGCCUCAAGGUCAUACCUCUUGCGGCUUUCAGCCUAGACGAGUGGUCGUUGGUGUGGUUAGGCUUUUGGGUUUGUGCGUUGCCCAGAGGUGUCUCUCCUGUCACUGUCUGUGGAC
Molecule: non-coding RNA, 492 nt
Organism: Pelobates cultripes (western spadefoot toad)
Lineage: Eukaryota; Metazoa; Chordata; Amphibia; Anura; Pelobatidae
Source: the annotation of a GenBank genome assembly